RNAcentral lists this ribosomal RNA (253 nucleotides) under uncultured bacterium. Its description in RNAcentral is "partial 16S ribosomal RNA". It matches the Rfam family "Bacterial small subunit ribosomal RNA", at positions 524 to 776 of the family's 1533-position model. The record is from RNAcentral.
UACAGAGGUGGCAAGCGUUGUUCGGAAUUACUGGGCGUAAAGGGCGCGUAGGCGGCCAUCUAAGUCAGACGUGAAAUCCCCCGGCUUAACCUGGGAACUGCGUCUGAUACUGGACGGCUAGAGUAUGGGAGAGGGAUGUAGAAUUCCAGGUGUAGCGGUGAAAUGCGUAGAUAUCUGGAGGAAUACCGGUGGCGAAGGCGGCUUCCUGGACCGACACUGACGCUGAGGCGCGAAAGCCAGGGGAGCAAACGGG